This 498-nucleotide ribosomal RNA is filed under the name uncultured bacterium. RNAcentral's name for it is "partial 16S ribosomal RNA". It matches the Rfam family "Bacterial small subunit ribosomal RNA", at positions 29 to 523 of the family's 1533-position model. The record is from RNAcentral.
AUUGAACGCUGGCGGCAUGCCUUACACAUGCAAGUCGAACGGUAACGCGGGGCAACCUGGCGACGAGUGGCGAACGGGUGAGUAUUGCAUCGGAACGUGCCUGGUAGUGGGGGAUAACUGCUCGAAAGAGCAGCUAAUACCGCAUACGACCUGAGGGUGAAAGGGGGGGAUCGCAAGACCUCUCGCUAUCAGAGCGGCCGAUGUCGGAUUAGCUAGUUGGUGGGGUAAAGGCCCACCAAGGCGACGAUCCGUAGCCGGUCUGAGAGGACGACCAGCCACACUGGGACUGAGACACGGCCCAGACUCCUACGGGAGGCAGCAGUGGGGAAUUUUGGACAAUGGACGCAAGUCUGAUCCAGCCAUGCCGCGUGCGGGAAGAAGGCCUUCGGGUUGUAAACCGCUUUUGUCAGGGAAGAAAUCUUCUGGACUAAUACUCUGGGAGGAUGACGGUACCUGAAGAAUAAGCACCGGCUAACUACGUGCCAGCAGCCGCCGUAA